Molecule: ribosomal RNA, 465 nt
Filed under: uncultured Klebsiella sp.
Lineage: Bacteria; Pseudomonadati; Pseudomonadota; Gammaproteobacteria; Enterobacterales; Enterobacteriaceae
Description: bacterial SSU rRNA
Rfam family: Bacterial small subunit ribosomal RNA
Source: RNAcentral
CCUACGGGCGGCUGCAGUGGGGAAUAUUGCACAAUGGGCGCAAGCCUGAUGCAGCCAUGCCGCGUGUGUGAAGAAGGCCUUCGGGUUGUAAAGCACUUUCAGCGGGGGGGAAGGCGGUGAGGUUAAUAACCUCAUCGAUUGACGUUACCCGCAGAAGAAGCACCGGCUAACUCCGUGCCAGCAGCCGCGGUAAUACGGAGGGUGCAAGCGUUAAUCGGAAUUACUGGGCGUAAAGCGCACGCAGGCGGUCUGUCAAGUCGGAUGUGAAAUCCCCGGGCUCAACCUAGGAACUGCAUUCGAAACUGGCAGGCUAGAGUCUUGUAGAGGGGGGUAGAAUUCCAGGUGUAGCGGUGAAAUGCGUAGAGAUCUGGAGGAAUACCGGUGGCGAAGGCGGCCCCCUGGACAAAGACUGACGCUCAGGUGCGAAAGCGUGGGGAGCAAACAGGAUUAGAUACCCGUGUAGUC